This 67-nucleotide microRNA precursor is filed under the name Bombyx mori (domestic silkworm). RNAcentral's name for it is "mir-2774 microRNA precursor family". It matches the Rfam family "mir-2774 microRNA precursor family". Lineage: Eukaryota; Metazoa; Arthropoda; Insecta; Lepidoptera; Bombycidae. The record is from Rfam by way of RNAcentral.
ACAACAUUCGGACCGUCGGUCUAACGAGCAAUCAUACCCGCUCGAUGGAAGAUCUUCCCUUUGUCGU